ACUUCUAUCGAUGGCUGUGAUUGGUCGUCCCAUCUUGGCGUCCUCUCAUUUCGACCAAUCAGACACGUCGUUGUGUGAGCGAGUGCGUUGAUUUGUGCCGCAGUGCAUCAGUCCUCUCUGAAGCUUCGUCCGUCUUGCACGUGUCUGCAACAGUAUUGAAGUUGCGAAGCACUUUGAAACUUCUAUCGAUGGCUGUGAUUGGUCGUCCCAUCUUGGCGUCCUCUCAUUUCGACCAAUCAGACACGUCGUUGUGUGAGCGAGUGCGUUGAUUUGUGGCGCAAUGCAUCAGUCCUCUCUGAAGCUUCGUCCGUCUUUCACGUGUCUGCAACAGAUAUUUGAUGAAUAUUGAAAGGACGCCGUGACAUCUGAUAUGGG
Osmia lignaria (orchard mason bee) is the source of this 375-nucleotide long non-coding RNA. RefSeq lists it as uncharacterized. The record is from RefSeq and is a predicted model, not a curated record. NCBI's taxonomy places the organism in Eukaryota, Metazoa, Arthropoda, Insecta, Hymenoptera, Megachilidae.